UACGUAGGAGGCAAGCGUUGUCCGGAAUUACUGGGCGUAAAGCGCGUGUAGGUGGUGGGACAAGUCUGCUGUGAAAGCGCCUGGCUUAACCGGGCGAGGUCGGCGGAAACUCUCAGACUGGAGGCCGGUAGAGGGGGGUGGAAUUCCCGGUGUAGUGGUGAAAUGCGUAGAGAUCGGGAGGAACACCUGUGGCGAAGGCGGCCCCCUGGGCCGCGCCUGACGCUGAGACGCGAAGGCUAGGGGAGCGAACGGG
Molecule: ribosomal RNA, 253 nt
Filed under: uncultured bacterium
Lineage: Bacteria
Description: partial 16S ribosomal RNA
Rfam family: Bacterial small subunit ribosomal RNA
Source: RNAcentral